GGUUGUGGCUCAGAGGUAGAGUGCUCGCCUAGCAUACAUGAGGCACUGGGUUCAAUCCUCAGCACUA
Molecule: transfer RNA, 67 nt
Filed under: Marmota monax (woodchuck)
Lineage: Eukaryota; Metazoa; Chordata; Mammalia; Rodentia; Sciuridae
Description: tRNA.Ala
Source: RNAcentral